GGAAAAGAAACUAACAAGGAUUCCCCUAGUAACGGCGAGUGAAGAGGGAAGAGCCCAAGAUUGAAAGCUGGCGUCUUCGGCGUCCGCAUUGUAAUCUCAAGAAGUGUUUUCCGCUUCGGACCAUGCCUAAGUCCCUUGGAAAAGGGCAUCAUAGAGGGUGAUAAUCCCGUACAUGGCAUGGAGCGCCCGAAGCUUUGUGAUACGCUUUCUAAGAGUCGAGUUGUUUGGGAAUGCAGCUCAAAAUGGGUGGUAAAUGCCAUAUAAGGCUAAAUAUUGGGGAGAGACCGAUAGCGAACAAGUACAGUGAUGGAAAGAUGAAAAGAACUUUGAAAAGAGAGUUAAAAAGUACGUGAAAUUGCCAAAAGGGAAGGGUAGGAGGUCAGAGAUGCGUCUUGGGAUUCAGCCUUGCUUUUUGCAUGGUGUUUUUCCCAAGUUGCAGGCCAACGUCGGUUUUGGGCACUGGAGAAGGGUGGAAGGAACGUGGCACCUCUCGGGGUGUGUUAUAGCCUUCUACUGGAUACAGCGACCGAGACCGAGGACAGCAGCGUACUCGCAAGAGCGGGCC
Molecule: ribosomal RNA, 565 nt
Filed under: Pseudozyma sp. IMAU6Y129(DX4-2)
Lineage: Eukaryota; Fungi; Basidiomycota; Ustilaginomycetes; Ustilaginales; Ustilaginaceae
Description: eukaryotic LSU rRNA
Rfam family: Eukaryotic large subunit ribosomal RNA
Source: RNAcentral